AACGAACGCUGGCGGCAUGCCUAACACAUGCAAGUCGAACGAGACCUUCGGGUCUAGUGGCGAACGGGUGCGUAACGCGUGGGAACCUGCCCUUAGGUUCGGAAUAACUCCCCGAAAGGGGUGCUAAUACCGGAUAAUGUCUUCGGACCAAAGAUGUAUCGCCUUUGGAUGGGUCCGCGUUGGAUUAGCUAGUUGGUAGGGUAAAAGCCUUCCAAGGCGACUUUCCAUAGCUGGUCUGAGAGGAUGAUCAGACACACUGGGAGUGAGACACGUCCCAGACUCCUACGGGAGGCAGCAGUGGUGAAUAUUGGACAAUGGGCGAGAGCCUGAUCCAGCAAUGCCGCGUGAGUGAUGAAGGACUUAGGGUUGUAAAGCUCUUUUACCCGGGAUGAUAAUGACAGUACCGGGAGAAUAAGCGCCGGCUAACUCCGUG
RNAcentral lists this ribosomal RNA (433 nucleotides) under uncultured bacterium. Its description in RNAcentral is "partial 16S ribosomal RNA". It matches the Rfam family "Bacterial small subunit ribosomal RNA", at positions 29 to 507 of the family's 1533-position model. The record is from RNAcentral.